RNAcentral lists this ribosomal RNA (507 nucleotides) under uncultured Pseudomonas sp. RNAcentral describes it as "bacterial SSU rRNA". It matches the Rfam family "Bacterial small subunit ribosomal RNA", at positions 903 to 1382 of the family's 1533-position model. Lineage: Bacteria; Pseudomonadati; Pseudomonadota; Gammaproteobacteria; Pseudomonadales; Pseudomonadaceae. The record is from RNAcentral.
CGCCUUGCCAGCCCGCUCAGAAACUUAAAGGAAUUGACGGGGGCCCGCACAAGCGGUGGGGCAUGUGGUUUAAUUCGAAGCAACGCGAAGAACCUUACCAGGCCUUGACAUGCAGAGAACUUUCCAGAGAUGGAUUGGUGCCUUCGGGAACUCUGACACAGGUGCUGCAUGGCUGUCGUCAGCUCGUGUCGUGAGAUGUUGGGUUAAGUCCCGUAACGAGCGCAACCCUUGUCCUUAGUUACCAGCACGUUAUGGUGGGCACUCUAAGGAGACUGCCGGUGACAAACCGGAGGAAGGUGGGGAUGAACGUCAAGUCAUCAUGGCCCUUACGGCCUGGGCUACACACGUGCUACAAUGGUCGGUACAAAGGGUUGCCAAGCCGCGAGGUGGAGCUAAUCCCAUAAAACCGAUCGUAGUCCGGAUCGCAGUCUGCAACUCGACUGCGUGAAGUCGGAAUCGCUAGUAAUCGUGAAUCAGAAUGUCACGGUGAAUACGUUCCCGGGCCUU